This 209-nucleotide ribosomal RNA is filed under the name uncultured Arcobacter sp. RNAcentral describes it as "partial 16S ribosomal RNA". It matches the Rfam family "Bacterial small subunit ribosomal RNA", at positions 568 to 775 of the family's 1533-position model. Lineage: Bacteria; Pseudomonadati; Campylobacterota; Epsilonproteobacteria; Campylobacterales; Arcobacteraceae. The record is from RNAcentral.
CAUGUAGGCGGAUUGAUAAGUUUGAAGUGAAAUCCUAUAGCUUAACUAUAGAACUGCUUUGAAAACUGUUAAUCUAGAAUGUGGGAGAGGUAGAUGGAAUUUCUGGUGUAGGGGUAAAAUCCGUAGAGAUCAGAAGGAAUACCGAUUGCGAAGGCGAUCUACUGGAACAUUAUUGACGCUGAGAUGCGAAAGCGUGGGGGAGCAAACAG